ACUGUGAUGCUUAAUUUUAAUUGUCAGUUUGAUAGGAUUUAAAGUCACCAUGGAAACAAACCUCUGUGUGUGUCUGGGAAGGAGUUUCUAGAUUGGGUUAAUUGAGGUGGGAAGAGCAGCUGUGGUGGUGUGAAGGAAAAUGGCCCUCAAAGGGAGGGGCGCUAUUAGGAGGGGAGGCCUUGGUGGAGGAAGUGUGUCAUGCUGGGGGCAGGCUUUGAGGUCUCUUUCUUAAGCUUCCGUCAGUGUGACAGUCAGUCGACUUCCUGUUACCUGCAAGAUGUAGGACACUGAGCUCCAGCACCACAUCUGCCUGCACACUGCCAUGCUCCCCAUCAUGACCAUAAUGAACUGAACCUCUGAAACGAUGUAGGACUCUCAGCUCCUGCUCCAACACCUGUCUGCCUGCACGCCACCUUGCUUCCCACCAUGUUGAUAAUGGACUAAACCCCUGAAUUGUCAUUAAGUGAUCCACAGGCCCUCCUGAUGCCAUGCGGCUCAGAUGGGCGGAAGACACCCAUGGGGCAGCCUGGGUCCUCAAGUUUCAACCUGCUUGAAGCAUCCACAGGCCCACCCAGCUCCUUGUAACACUGGGCAGGGCAAGGCUGCAGACAUACCAUGGAGUAACCACACAGUGGUUGUCUGUAGGAGUACGUGGCAAAAGAAUUACCAGUCUUCUACUACUAGUAGUACUGCUACUAUUGCUACUACUACUACGUUGAUAGGAAAGUAGAUUGCAUACAUGUGCUGUCAGCCACUACAGGGCAUGUGUGCCCAUGUGACGCCCAUUCUUAUCUUCUGCAACAAUCUUAGCAGAAUCUGCGAGGACAACUGAGAGGCCUACAGGAUGAAGACUAGAACAUAUCUUUCUAGUCCAUGGAAGCUACCCAGGAGUGUCAGGGCCUCUGCCCCAGAACUGUCUUCAGAACAGAAGGUACAGCUGUUUUGUGCAGGGUCCAUAAACUGAGCUCUCUUACUCUGUUCAGUUCUUUAUCUACUCUAGACUCUCAAGCCUGUCCUAGAAACUGUCAUUAAAAAACUAGAAUGUGUCCAUCCCAGGCUGAAGUGGUACUAUGGCAGUACUCUAUGACUACAGUACUCUAUGAUUGUGACAAUACUCUAUGACUACAGCAGUACUCUAUGACUGUGGCAGUACUCUAUGACUGUGGCAGUACUCUAUGACUACAGUACUCUAUGACUGUGACAGUACUCUAUGACUGUGACAGUACUCUAUGACUGUGACAGUACUCUAUGACUACAGCAGUACUCUAUGACUGUGACAGUACUCUAUGACUACAGCAGUACUCUAUGACUGUGACAGUACUCUAUGACUACAGCAGUACUCUAUGACUACAGCAGUACUCUAUGACUGUGACAGUACUCUAUGACUAUGACAGUACUCUAUGACUGUGACAGUACUCUAUGACUAUGACAGUACUCUAUGACUAUGACCAUACUCUAUGACUACAGCAGUACUCUAUGACUGUGACAGUACUCUAUGACUACAGCAGUACUCUAUGACUGUGACAGUACUCUAUGACUAUGGCAGUAUUCUAUGACUAUGUCAGUACUCUAUGACUGUGACAGUACUCUAUGACUAUGGUAGUACUCUAUGAUUAUAGCAGUACUCUAUGACUGUGACAGUACUCUAUGACUACAGCAGUACUCUAUGACUGUGACAGUACUCUAUGACUAUGGCAGUAUUCUAUGACUAUGUCAGUACUCUAUGACUGUGACAAUACUCUAUGACUACAGCAGUACUCUAUGACUGUGACAGUACUCUAUGACUACAGCAGUACUCUAUGACUGUGACAGUACUCUAUGACUAUGGUAGUACUCUAUGAUUAUAGCAGUACUCUAUGACUACAGCAGUAUUCUAUGACUAUGGUAGUACUCUAUGACUACAGCAGUACUCUAUGACUAUAGCAGUACUCUAUGACUGUGACAGUACUCUAUGACUACAGCAGUACUCUAUGACUACAGCAGUACUCUAUGACUGUGGAAGUACUCUAUGACUAUGGCAGUACUCUAUGACUGUGACAAUACUCUAUGACUACAGCAGUGCUCUAUGACUGUGGAAGUACUCUAUGACUACAGCAGUACUCUAUGACUGUGGAAGUACUCUAUGACUAUAGCAGUACUCUAUGACUGUGACAGUACUCUAUGACUACAGCAGUACUCUAUGACUACAGCAGUACUCUAUGACUGUGACAGUACUCUAUGACUACAGCAGUACUCUAUGACUAUGGCAGUACUCUAUGACUAUGGCUGUACUCUGUGAACAUGGUAAUACUCUGUGACUAUAGUAGUACUCUAUGACUAUGACAGUACUCUAUGACUACAGCAGUACUCUAUGACUGCAGCAGUACUCUAUGACUAUGGCCGUACUCUAUGAACAUGGUAAUACUCUGUGACUGACUGACGAUGGCUGAGAAAGAAGCUCUAUCCUGACUAAUCCUAGGUAAGCUAGUAUGCUUCCCAAACCCUAAAACUUGCUUGGAAAGUAGAGCUAAGGGUCUGGAGAGAUGCUCAGAGGUUUAGAGCACUUGUUACUCUUGCAGAGGACCCUGGUUCAAUUUCCGAUGCCCACAUGGUGACUCACAACCACCUAUAACUUCACUUCCAGGGAAUCAGAUGCCCUCUUCUGCUGUGGAAUAAUCAUGCUGUACAUUGUGUAAAUAUAUGACGGGUUUAAUAAACAAGCUGACUGUCCAAUAGCUGAACAGGAUAAAGUUAGGCAGGAAAGUCAAACUGAGAAUGAUGGGAGGAGGAAGGGCAGACUCAGAAGAGUUGCCAGCCAGACACACAGGGAGCAGGAGAUGAAAGUGCCAUGUUAAUAAAGGUACCACCAUGUGGCAGAGCGUAGAUAAGGAAUAUGAGUUAACUUAAAAUAUAAGCCUGAGCCAUUGGCCAAGCAUUCGUAAUUAAUAUAAGCCUCAGUGUGUUUACUUGAAAGUGGCUACAGGACAGGAAAUUCUACCUACAAAUGGCACCCAAACGUUUGGCAAGAAUUUCCACAUAAAACCUAAGAAAGUUUUUUAAAAGGUUCUAAAACAGAACCACGAGCAGCUUCCUAGUCUCCUGGCUGCUGCCUGAGGGCUUGAACCUCCAGCACACUUCAUGGAAGGUUCCCACAGACUCUCAUGCCAGCCACAGUGCAGAGAAAACAUCUCCCAGACCCUGCCUGUGGGUUUGAGCUGCCGCCAGAGCAAGCUCACCAGCGUACCAUGAACGAGGCCUCAUUGUGGGUUUAGGUUUUGCUCAUGCAGACAGAAGUGGUUACAGAUGCACAGUAAGGACAGAUUGAGACAAAAAGAGCCUCUAAACAGACCACAGUGUGUUAGAAAAUGUGCAUCGGCUUGGGAGAGAGAAAAGAAAGAGUAUAUACAAUCUUAGAUUUAAAAAUAUAGUUUUAAAAUAAAGUCCUUAAAAAAGAAAUAGAGUAAUAAAAAAUAUAAUAAGCCAUGAAAAAGAUGGAAAGUACACAGAGAGUCUGGGUACUGUAUGUUAUUGUGUUGUCUUUAGAUUUUCUGAUUGCUGGGGAAGGAACAGCAGCUGCUAACACACAUGGGAUUAUGACAACUGUUAGAUUAAACCGACCAAUAUAUAUUUUAAAAAUAUCUCGACUUCAAAAUUUAAGUCAAAAGGUGUAUUGCUUUGGGGGAGAAGUUAUGCUUUUAUUUCCACGGGAAAUGAGAAGCUGUGGAUUCAUUCUGGGUUAAAGAAAAUAAGAUUUGAUGAAGGAAGAACUUUGGAUGACUGUCCAGGCUGCCAGCUGUCUCUGUCUACCCUGCAAGACUCCCAAAAGUUGUUUGCAUCCUUCUCCCAUUUCUCAGGUAGUAUUAUAUCCUUCUGAGAUCUUUGAUGUAGUUGAAGACUAGAAUUAUAAUUUCCUCUGUUAUGAUAAAAGAUAAGUUAGAUAUAAAACCUUAGACUCACAAAUAUAAGAUAGGAUAUCUUCUUUAAUUUUGCCAAAUACAAAUAGACUAGUUAUUAUAAAUAGAUUAGAUAUUAUAACUGUAAUUCUUGCUUGAUAAUCGUUUUGUUAUCUAUAAUUUUACUAUGUGAAAGUUAAAACCUUCCUUUUUGAAAAAAAAAAGAAAAGGGGGAGUGCUGUGGGAUGGUCUGUAUGUCAAGUGUGUUGCUCUGAUUGGUUAAUAAAUAAAACACUGAUUGGCCAGUAGCCAGGCAGGAAGUAUAGGUGGGACAAGGAGGAGAAGAAAUUGGGGAAGUGGAAGGCUGAGGCAGAGACACUGCCAGCCGCCACCACAAGAAAGAUGUAAGGUACCGAUAAGCCACGAGCCACAUGGCAAAGUAUAGAUUAAUAAAAAUGGGUUAAUUUAAGAUAUAAAAACAGUUAACAAAAAGCCUGAGCCAUUAAGUCAAACAGUUUAAAUAAUAUAAGCGUCUGUGUGUUUAUUUUAUAAGUGGGCUGUCAGACUGCCGGGGCUUGGCGGGACCUGGAGAAAAAACUCUCCAGCUACACCAAACACCACUGAAAAUGGAUGGCCCUGGUGAUCCAACAUCUCAAGGUCCCUCUCUGUUACAGUCUCCUCGGAAUUCUGCAUUCAGAACAGCUUCAAGGCUGCUUGCUGAGAUGAUCCAGCCUCACAGAAUACUGCAGUCAGUACUUGACCAUAAUCUUAAAUUUUCUUAGGGUCCCCCAAAGAUUACCAUGGGGACUACUUCAAUAGGAAGCAGUCUAGAGAACUACACACACAUUCCCAAAAAAUGGGUUAUGGAUAUUUAUUAUCAUUUAAGCGAGGUUGGUUGCAAGUUGUUAUUGGUAAUGAUCAGGAAAAAAGCUGAACAAAGGAGGUUAGAUUCAGGGAUCUCAUCCUAAAAAGAAAAGGGGGAUAUAGAAAUGAUAGGAUAAAAGGGUACAUUAUUGAAUCUACUUUAAUCCAAAAAACAACUAUUAAUCUUAAAUAUUUUACAUGGGUAUGUAUUUUGGUUUAUUGAUACAAAUUUAAAGUUAAUUUUGUUAUUCUGUAUGUAUAUUUCCACUCUUGUUUAAGGUAUUGUGUUUAUGCAGCUCAUUUUAAAAUAUAAUAUACAAUUAAGAAGUACAGAUUAAUAGCCAUCUGUCAUAGUCAAACUUACAGUUAUGUUAGAUAUGUUUUCAAGGUCAUACACAGAUAUCCUAUAAGAGCAUGAUAGUUUCCUCCACUAGAACCCUUGGUUCUGAUAGGUUGACCUUCUGAACACUAGUUGUCACCUGCUGUAUACUCCCAUGGCCUUUUGCUACCAGCAGUUCUCAAUAAUAUACUUAGAUAGAUGGUCUUCAAACACAUCAAAAACCUACAGAAUAUGGUAUUUAAUAUGUUUAAUAUUAAAAGGCUUUUCAUGACAGUGAGACACGUCUGCUCCUGGCAGCACCAAUCUACUUCAGAGAAGAUGACGGGUAUCAAAGAAACUCCAUAUGCUGUUUGUUUUCUUUAUGGCAAAAGCUAGCCAUUUGGGGGAAGAAAAACUGCCCUUGUCUCCAUUGUUGACAGUUACUGUCCAAACUGGACCAGCAGGACACAAGAAAGGCAACUGCCAAACUUUGCCAAGACAAGGGUUUCUCUGUGUAGCUUUGGAGCCUGUCCUGGAUCUCACUCUGUAAAACAGGCUGCCUCUCGAGUGCUGGGAUUAAAGAGCAGAGAAGCAGCUGAUGCCCAAGGCCUGCCAGGAGACUCGCCCAGAAAGACAUAGAUGAUCAUUGCUCUCGGGUCUGUCAUUUCUUUACUGCGGAAUCUCACCAUCUCGAAAACCUUAAUCAGGACUUGGCAUGGUGGGGAACACCUGUAAUUUCAGCCCUCAAGAAGAUGAGGAAGGAGUUCAAAGGCAGACUGGGUGACUUAGGAAGUCCAGUCUCACAGAAGCAAAGUUAACACACUGUGAUGGAGAUUUUCUCACCUUAGAAGAUUUUACAUGCUACACAUUUCAAAAUUGCACACAAAAGCUGUUUCUAUCCCAGGCCAUGCCACUCAUUUUUGUCUAAUUUAAACUUAAACAUUUGAUAGCCUAUCUGACUUGCUUUUGAAAUGAAAAGAAUUUAAAUAUGAAAAUAAAAGUAUCAAACAUUGUA
Long non-coding RNA from Peromyscus californicus insignis, 6070 nucleotides. RefSeq lists it as uncharacterized. The record is from RefSeq and is a predicted model, not a curated record. The transcript is spliced from 7 exons. Lineage: Eukaryota; Metazoa; Chordata; Mammalia; Rodentia; Cricetidae.